CCAACUGGGAUUACCUUAGUAACGGCGAGUGAAGCGGUAAAAGCUCAAAUUUGAAAUCUGGUACUUUCAGUGCCCGAGUUGUAAUUUGUAGAAUUUGUCUUUGAUUAGGUCCUUGUCUAUGUUCCUUGGAACAGGACGUCAUAGAGGGUGAGAAUCCCGUUUGGCGAGGAUACCUUUUCUCUGUAAGACUUUUUCGAAGAGUCGAGUUGUUUGGGAAUGCAGCUCAAAGUGGGUGGUAAAUUCCAUCUAAAGCUAAAUAUUGGCGAGAGACCGAUAGCGAACAAGUACAGUGAUGGAAAGAUGAAAAGAACUUUGAAAAGAGAGUGAAAAAGUACGUGAAAUUGUUGAAAGGGAAGGGCAUUUGAUCAGACAUGGUGUUUUUUGCAUGCACUCGCCUCUCGUGGGCUUGGGCCUCUCAAAAAUUUCACUGGGCCAACAUCAAUUCUGGCAGCAGGAUAAAUCAUUAAGAAUGUAGCUACUUCGGUAGUGUUAUAGCUUUUUGGAAUACUGUUAGCCGGGAUUGAGGACUGCGCUUCGGCAAGGAUGUUGGCAUAAUGGUUAAAUGCCGCCCGUCUUGAA
Molecule: ribosomal RNA, 579 nt
Filed under: Hanseniaspora uvarum
Lineage: Eukaryota; Fungi; Ascomycota; Saccharomycetes; Saccharomycodales; Saccharomycodaceae
Description: eukaryotic LSU rRNA
Rfam family: Eukaryotic large subunit ribosomal RNA
Source: RNAcentral